CCUACGGGUGGCAGCAGUGGGGAAUAUUUGGCAAUGGGCGCAAGCCUGACCCAGCAACGCCGCGUUAAGGCAUAAUGCUUUCGGGUUGUUAACUUCUUUUAAGAGGGAAGAGCAGAAAACGGUACCUCCUGAAUAAGCAACGGCGAACUACGUGCCAGCAGCCGCCGUAAUACGUAGGUGGCAAGCGUUGUCCGGAUGUACUGGGUGUAAAUGGCGUGUAGCCGGGCUGACAAGUCAGAUGUGAAAUCCGGGGGCUCAACCCCCGAACGGAAAUUGAAACUGUUGGUCUUGAGUAUCGGAGAGGCAGGCGGAAUUCCUAGUGUAGCGGUGAAAUGCGUAGAUAUCAGGAGGAACACUGGUGGCGAAGGCGGCCUGCUGGACGACAACUGACGGUGAGGCGCGAAAGCGUGGGGAGCAAAAAGGAUUAGAUACCCGGGUAGUC
Molecule: ribosomal RNA, 442 nt
Filed under: uncultured bacterium
Lineage: Bacteria
Description: partial 16S ribosomal RNA
Rfam family: Bacterial small subunit ribosomal RNA
Source: RNAcentral